Molecule: transfer RNA, 71 nt
Filed under: Loxodonta africana (African savanna elephant)
Lineage: Eukaryota; Metazoa; Chordata; Mammalia; Proboscidea; Elephantidae
Rfam family: tRNA
About the family: Transfer RNA (tRNA) molecules are approximately 80 nucleotides in length. Their secondary structure includes four short double-helical elements and three loops (D, anti-codon, and T loops).
Source: Rfam by way of RNAcentral
GCAGUGGAGGUUCAUUGGUAGAAUUCUCACCUUCUAUGCAGGAGACCCAGGUUCGGUUCCUGGCCAGUGCA